Molecule: ribosomal RNA, 460 nt
Filed under: uncultured bacterium
Lineage: Bacteria
Description: partial 16S ribosomal RNA
Rfam family: Bacterial small subunit ribosomal RNA
Source: RNAcentral
CCUACGGGUGGCAGCAGUGAGGAAUAUUGGUCAAUGGGCGAGAGCCUGAACCAGCCAAGUCGCGUGAAGGAUGAAGGAUCUAUGGUUUGUAAACUUCUUUUAUAUGGGAAUAAAGUGAGGAACGUGUUCCUUUUUGUAUGUACCAUAUGAAUAAGCAUCGGCUAACUCCGUGCCAGCAGCCGCGGUAAUACGGAGGAUGCGAGCGUUAUCCGGAUUUAUUGGGUUUAAAGGGUGCGUAGGUGGUGAAUUAAGUCAGCGGUGAAAGUUUGUGGCUCAACCAUAAAAUUGCCGUUGAAACUGGUUGACUUGAGUAUAUGAGAGGUAGGCGGAAUGCGUGGUGUAGCGGUGAAAUGCAUAGAUAUCGCGCAGAACUCCGAUUGCGAAGGCAGCUUACUAAACUAUAACUGACACUGAAGCACGAAAGCGUGGGGAGCAAACAGGAUUAGAUACCCGUGUAGUC